GACAUGGCUCAGGAUGAACGCUAGCUACAGGCUUAACACAUGCAAGUCGAGGGGCAGCAUGGACCCAGCUUUGCUGGGUUUGAUGGCGACCGGCGCACGGGUGAGUAACGCGUAUCCAAUCUGCCCUUUACUCCGGGAUAGUCUCCUGAAAGGGAGUUUAAUACCGGAUGUGUUUGUUUUUCCGCAUGGGAGCGACAAAUAAAGAUUAAUUGGUAAAGGAUGGGGAUGCGUCCCAUUAGCUUGUUGGCGGGG
RNAcentral lists this ribosomal RNA (252 nucleotides) under uncultured bacterium. Its description in RNAcentral is "partial 16S ribosomal RNA". It matches the Rfam family "Bacterial small subunit ribosomal RNA", at positions 16 to 257 of the family's 1533-position model. The record is from RNAcentral.